UUUGUCUCAGUAGAAAAGAAAAAGCGAUGUUCGAGAAAUAGCAAAAGCGUGUUAAAAAAAAGAUUUGUUAUCUGAAAAAAAUUGCAGAUGGAAGAUCAACGUGAAGGUGAUCAAGCCAAACCACGGUAAAACGGGUAUAAAGAAGGAAAUAGUCAAAGUUGUUUCAAAAAUCGUAUGAAAAAAAAAUAAUGAAAAAAUAAGGACAAGAACAGCAAAGAGCAAGACCGACAACAAAGCGGGAAGACGAAAAAAAAAGGGAAAAGAAAUGACAAGAAAGACGUAAAUCCUGUAAAGAAUGCAAGCAAAAGAAGAAAAACAAAUGCGAAAUAGGAUGAUAUUUCAAAGACAAACACAAAAAAAAAAAGCAAAGAAUAGGGGAAUCGAAAAAGGAAAAUCGAUCUUUGUUAUCCUAUAAAAAGACCCAAAUUUCACUCGAUUUUCCUACGUUGUAGCAAGUUUAUGAUUAUUUUUCUAUAAUCUCUAUUUACCUUGUUGACUGUUUUUUUCAUCUUUUCUCUGUUUAUCACAAUAUCGAUCACUCCUACCUAUCUGCAUAUUUAUCGGCGUUUUGUUUACAAAAUGCCAUGUAACUGCCGAAACAAGUUUCUUUCGUCAUUGCUCAAUUGAAUUACGAGAGCAACGACGCGAAUGUGGAGAAAGAUUACAUAUUGCAACGCAUCACAAAAUCUUGAAACGAAAUUGAGCGUAGUAUCGAAAAGGACGAUUGCAAGGGAGUAACAGGAGGAAGACAAACAGUGAAACAAAGAAGAGGAAGAAAAGAGAAAUGAAAUAAAUAAUAAAGCCCUAAAA
Schizosaccharomyces pombe (fission yeast) is the source of this 810-nucleotide non-coding RNA. The record is from the annotation of a GenBank genome assembly. Lineage: Eukaryota; Fungi; Ascomycota; Schizosaccharomycetes; Schizosaccharomycetales; Schizosaccharomycetaceae.